Molecule: ribosomal RNA, 254 nt
Filed under: uncultured prokaryote
Description: partial 16S ribosomal RNA
Rfam family: Bacterial small subunit ribosomal RNA
Source: RNAcentral
ACGUAGGGCGCAAGCGUUAUCCGGAAUUAUUGGGCGUAAAGGGCGCGUAGGCGGCCAGCGCAAGUCAGUUGUGAAAUCUCCGGGCUUAACUCGGAACGGUCAACUGAUACUGCGCGGCUAGAGUGCAGAAGGGGCGACUGGAAUUCUCGGUGUAGCGGUGAAAUGCGUAGAUAUCGAGAGGAACACCUGCGGCGAAGGCGGGUUGCUGGGCUGACACUGACGCUGAUGCGCGAAAGCCAGGGGAGCGAACGGGA